GGAAGGGAUUCGCUCCCCGGUGGGACGGCCGGACUUCAAAUCCGGUUGAGCACGUCAGACGUGCUCAGGUGGGUUCGACUCCCACUUCCUUCCGCCA
RNAcentral lists this transfer RNA (97 nucleotides) under Burkholderiales bacterium. RNAcentral describes it as "tRNA-Sec". It matches the Rfam family "Selenocysteine transfer RNA". Lineage: Bacteria; Pseudomonadati; Pseudomonadota; Betaproteobacteria; Burkholderiales. The record is from RNAcentral.